AUAAACAUGCUCUGUGAGUGGGAGAAUUCGAAUGCUGCAUGCCAGCUGACUUUCUGUCACCCACACUGACCCUCUCAAUACUGCAUGCUGAGCUCCACUAACUCCCAUACUAUGUAAUUGAUGGAGUGGAACAAACUUCACAGCAAGUUAAAUGCAGACUUUAUUCAAGCUCCAAGGGACUUGGAAAGACCUUCAGCCCAGUCAGCCCAGAUGAGCCCACCUCUGUGAGCCCCUUGAUUUGGAAUGGCGGCUUGUAUGUCUGUGUCAACAGGAAGCUCACUGCAUUGUGACUCAGGUGAGGAGGCCUGCCCUGGGAGCAAACUCCUCUGCAGCCAUCAUCACGACAGGCACAGCACAAGGGUAAGCCCUGGACCAAGCCACAAAGGUAGCAAGAUUGGUUUUCGGAGUUUCUCGUAGGCUGUUCUUCUUGCCUUCUGUCACACUCACUCCAUCAGGGCCUGUUUGCUGCCCAGAUGAGCCACACACAUCGGCUGGAUGAAAUGAAACUUGCCCUUCUUGUCCUACAUGUCUGUAUCUAAAAGUAUACAUUUUGGAAAGAGGCCUUAUUAAUCUAAAUACUUUUUAUUUUAAGGCUGAAUGUUUUUCUACCAAUGCAUAAGAUCUACCAGCCACAGACAGGCACUGUUUUUAGAUGGUCUUGAGGCAUCUCAUUUUACAAAGGAUAUAGAAACAGACGGAUGCUAUAUAGAAACUGGUGGAGUGGGGUGGAAGAGAAGACAGAAGACAAGGGUUAUAAUUUAAUCAUAUAAACUCUGGAUGCAAUAACCAAGGUCUCCCCAGAAAGCUGUCAGUGUAUACUUGUGUGGUGAGUAGAUUUCUAAUCAGCUCUAGAAGGGUGGCCAAACACAGCUAAACUGUGUCUUUUAGUAGCAGGAAAAGCAUCUGCUAUAGUUUAGAUGUUUGUCCCCCAAACUCCAUAUUGAAAUUUGACCCCCAAUAUUGGAUGGGGGCCUAAGGGGAGGUGUUUGGAUCCUGAGGACAGAUCCCUCAUGAAUGUCUUGGUACUGUCCUCACAGUGAAGAGUGAGUUCUCACACUAUCAGCUCCCUUGAGAAACUGGUUGUCAAAACAAGCCUGGCACUCCCCAUCCCCUCACCACGUGGUCUCUGCACACACGAGCUUCCAUUCACUUUUCAUCAUGUAUGGAACCAACCCGAGGACCUCAUUGGAAAGAGAGUGGAUGCUGGCACCAUGCUUCUUGUUCAGCCUGCAGAACUGGGAGACAACAUAAACCUCUUUCCUUUAUAACUUACCCAGACUUGAGUAUUUCUUUGUAGCAAUACAAACAGACAAAGCAUCUGACAAGCAAGUUGUUCAAUGAAGAGAUUGUUAGAGCCUGGGGAAGAGUCAUCAUGUUCAAUUGGUACAAGAUGCAAUUAACUAAUAUGAUUUGGGACAGCUGUCUCCAUUGAGGUCACCAGGGUGUCAUGGAGUGAAGCUUCAGGAGGAAGAGCUGACUACUUCCUACCCUGGGCUCCAUUUUUGUCAGGGCUCUACAGAGAGACAGAACUGACAAGAUAUAAAGAGAGGAAUAAAACAAAAAUCCAGAUAUUUCUAUAAAUCCGAUUAUUUGCCAAAUUAAAUGUGAAAGCUUGCCUCUAUCUCUUUCCAUUGUGUGCAGAUAUUUUGCACAGUGUGGAUUUGGUCUCUAGGUGUGAGUGUGCCCUGGACACAAUGCAUAGUAGACAGACAUUGUGCUUCGUUGUAGACACUGUGCUAGGCACGUAUUACACAUUGCCCCAAAUCCUUAUCACAAACACAUCAGGAGUAUGAUGGCCAAGGAGGAAGCUGUGGCUCAGCCCAUUGAGGCUGUAUAUCCAGGGAUCAACAGCCAGUAAGUGGGUGUGCUGACUCCCAAGGCCAAAGCCCACCUACUUGCCAGGUAACUUUCUAGGGAUAUGAAGGCAUUCUAUGUUAUGAUGGUGUGUGUUACAUGAGUGUAUCUGUCUACCAAAAGUGUGCUUCCAUGAUUUAUGCAAUCAGAUAUGGGAUAUAAUGGUAACUCAUGUUUUUACCCAAGGAUUUUUUCAUCACCAUAAAACAUCACUUCUACUCAGCUUUAUUCUAAUGAUUUGAGGCAGAGUUUAAAAAUCUGUCAAAAUUAAAUAUAUUUUUAACAAAGUGAAGACAUCUAGACAAACAGACAAUGGGGUAGGAAAGAUGGAGCUAAAACCAGGGCUGAGUUUCAUUCACAGAUGGCUCGAGGUCCUACUCAAUUACUAGAAAUGGGCUAAAUAUUCACCUCUAAGCUUUCCAAUAAGCAACACAGUAGGAACAAUAUCAACGCAAUAGGCCUCAGAGUCCAUGAGAAAUAAACUAAACAGUUGCUUAGGGAAAGCAGAGCUAUUUCUGGUAAGAAAUUCAGAGAGAGUUUUCCUUUGAGUCUUCAUAAAGAAGACACUCUUCGAUGUAGGGCGCAGCAUUAACUACAUUCUUAUGCAAGUUGUAAAGGCUAAAUCUCAUAAAAUAUUUUAAUAUAGGCCAUAACACCAAGCAGCAAAAAUAGAGAACUAGAGGAUGGGGAGAUGGAAUUUGCUGUGUUUGGAAAUUAAUACGAUUAUUGGUUUUCUGUGUUCUCACUUAAUCCAGGGUUUUAAGGAAUCUAGAGAAAAAUCAGGAUUGAUGUUUUUCAUUAGUGCGUUUUCUUACAACUAAAGCUCUUGAACGCUCUGGGUGGUGGGGAGUUUGGGUUGCACUUGGCUUGUGAUGAGUUUCCCAGGGAGAUGCACUUCUCAGCUGGACCACCUGAGCACACCACCAGGAAAAGCUUUUGGGUAACCCCGGAGGCAGGAAAAUUUCCUAUGGGUGCUUUAUUCAGCUGUAGUCCUAUAAUCAGCCUUUCACAUAAUUUGAUAGAACUGACCAAUGUGAAAUGAAACUGUUAAUAAGAUCCCAAACUCUCCAGAGAAGAGGACUCUCUAUGGCUAGUAGAAACACCCAAAUUAAAAUAAUGGAAACCCAAUGGCCAUAGUUAGAGAAGGGUGGUCACGUGCCUUUUGUUUCUGAAGAGGGCAGUUCCAAACAAACAUGCUGUCUGUGCCUCUGAGCUAAGACAGUUCUUGUAAAGGGAGCUGAGGCACCAUGGCUGGAAAUCUCCUCCAACCAGCCUGAAAGGGCAUCCAAUAGACACUUAUGGUUUGGGGUUUAGAAAGUACCCAGUCAAGACUGUUAUUUUCAACCAAUCAGAAUUGAAUGUGUUCAAAUCAUUCAUUUACAUAUACAGACCUGAUUGAAGACUGUGACAGGAAUUUUCUUUAUUUAAGCCAGACCCUUUCUUUGUUCUCCAGAAUGUGCUUUUGUUUUCCACCAAAGCCUGUGUCUUCCCGAUACCUAGA
This 3355-nucleotide long non-coding RNA is filed under the name Homo sapiens (human). Its description in RNAcentral is "HSALNT0265818". Lineage: Eukaryota; Metazoa; Chordata; Mammalia; Primates; Hominidae. The record is from RNAcentral.